AAUGAACGCUGGCGGCGUGCCUAAUACAUGCAAGUCGAGCGAACGGACGAUAAGCUUGCUUCUCUGCUGUUAGCGGCGGACGGGUGAGUAACACGUGGAUAACCUACCUAUAAGACUGGGAUAACUUCGGGAAACCGGAGCUAAUACCGGAUAAUAUUUUGAACCGCAUGGUUCAAAAGUGAAAGGCGGUCUUGCUGUCACUUAUAGAUGGAUCCGCGCUGCAUUAGCUAGUUGGUAAGGUAACGGCUUACCAAGGCAACGAUGCAUAGCCGACCUGAGAGGGUGAUCGGCCACACUGGAACUGAGACACGGUCCAGACUCCUACGGGAGGCAGCAGUAGGGAAUCUUCCGCAAUGGGCGAAAGCCUGACGAAGCAACGCCGCGUGAGUGAUGAAGGUCUUCGGAUCGUAAAACUCUGUUAUUAGGGAAGAACAGAUGUGUAAGUAACCGUGCACAUCUUGACGGUACCUAAUCAGAAAGCCACGGCUAACUACGUG
Molecule: ribosomal RNA, 497 nt
Filed under: uncultured bacterium
Lineage: Bacteria
Description: partial 16S ribosomal RNA
Rfam family: Bacterial small subunit ribosomal RNA
Source: RNAcentral